RNAcentral lists this ribosomal RNA (1326 nucleotides) under uncultured bacterium. Its description in RNAcentral is "bacterial SSU rRNA". It matches the Rfam family "Bacterial small subunit ribosomal RNA", at positions 28 to 1381 of the family's 1533-position model. The record is from RNAcentral.
GAUGAACGCUGGCGGCGCGCCUAACACAUGCAAGUCGAACGGCACCCCUCUCCGGAGGGAAGCGAGUGGCGAACGGCUGAGUAACACGUGGAGGACCUGCCCCCUCCCCCGGGAUAGCCGCCCGAAAGGACGGGUAAUACCGGAUACCCCGGGGUGCCGCAUGGCACCCCGGCUAAAGCCCCGACGGGAGGGGAUGGCUCCGCGGCCCAUCAGGUAGACGGCGGGGUGACGGCCCACCGUGCCGACAACGGGUAGCCGGGUUGAGAGACCGACCGGCCAGAUUGGGACUGAGACACGGCCCAGACUCCUACGGGAGGCAGCAGUGGGGAAUCUUGCGCAAUGGGGGGAACCCUGACGCAGCGACGCCGCGUGCGGGACGGAGGCCUUCGGGUCGUAAACCGCUUUCAGCAGGGAAGAGUCAAGACUGUACCUGCAGAAGAAGCCCCGGCUAACUACGUGCCAGCAGCCGCGGUAAUACGUAGGGGGCGAGCGUUAUCCGGAUUCAUUGGGCGUAAGCGCGCGUAGGCGGCCCGGCAGGCCGGGGGUCGAAGCGGGGGGCUCAACCCCCCGAAGCCCCCGGAACCUCCGCGGCUUGGGUCCGGUAGGGGAGGGUGGAACACCCGGUGUAGCGGUGGAAUGCGCAGAUAUCGGGUGGAACACCGGUGGCGAAGGCGGCCCUCUGGGCCGAGACCGACGCUGAGGCGCGAAAGCUGGGGGAGCGAACAGGAUUAGAUACCCUGGUAGUCCCAGCCGUAAACGAUGGACGCUAGGUGUGGGGGGACGAUCCCCCCGUGCCGCAGCCAACGCAUUAAGCGUCCCGCCUGGGGAGUACGGCCGCAAGGCUAAAACUCAAAGGAAUUGACGGGGGCCCGCACAAGCAGCGGAGCAUGUGGCUUAAUUCGAAGCAACGCGAAGAACCUUACCAGGGCUUGACAUAUGGGUGAAGCGGGGGAGACCCCGUGGCCGAGAGGAGCCCAUACAGGUGGUGCAUGGCUGUCGUCAGCUCGUGUCGUGAGAUGUUGGGUUAAGUCCCGCAACGAGCGCAACCCCCGCCGCGUGUUGCCAUCGGGUGAUGCCGGGAACCCACGCGGGACCGCCGCCGUCAAGGCGGAGGAGGGCGGGGACGACGUCAAGUCAUCAUGCCCCUUAUGCCCUGGGCUGCACACGUGCUACAAUGGCCGGUACAGAGGGAUGCCACCCCGCGAGGGGGAGCGGAUCCCGGAAAGCCGGCCCCAGUUCGGAUUGGGGGCUGCAACCCGCCCCCAUGAAGUCGGAGUUGCUAGUAAUCGCGGAUCAGCAUGCCGCGGUGAAUGCGUUCCCGGGCCU